GGGCGGUUNCCCGCCCGGACUCGGCGAGAAGUCCAUUGAACCUUAUCAUUUAGAGGAAGGAGAAGUCGUAACAAGGUUUCCGUAGGUGAACCUGCGGAAGGAUCAUUG
Molecule: ribosomal RNA, 108 nt
Filed under: Catasetum sp. SRR-2011
Lineage: Eukaryota; Viridiplantae; Streptophyta; Magnoliopsida; Asparagales; Orchidaceae
Description: partial 18S ribosomal RNA
Rfam family: Eukaryotic small subunit ribosomal RNA
Source: RNAcentral